This 209-nucleotide ribosomal RNA is filed under the name Lonsdalea populi. RNAcentral describes it as "partial 16S ribosomal RNA". It matches the Rfam family "Bacterial small subunit ribosomal RNA", at positions 1 to 213 of the family's 1533-position model. The record is from RNAcentral. Lineage: Bacteria; Pseudomonadati; Pseudomonadota; Gammaproteobacteria; Enterobacterales; Pectobacteriaceae.
UUAAUUGAAGAGUUUGAUCAUGGCUCAGAUUGAACGCUGGCGGCAGGCCUAACACAUGCAAGUCGAGCGGCAGCGGAAAGUAGCUUGCUACUUUGCCGGCGAGCGGCGGACGGGUGAGUAAUGUCUGGGGAUCUGCCCGAUGGAGGGGGAUAACUACUGGAAACGGUAGCUAAUACCGCAUAACGUCGCAAGACCAAAGUGGGGGACCU